UCCCAUGUGGCUCAGUUGGUAGAGCAUGGUGUUUGCAACGCCAGGGUUUUGGGUUCAAUUCCCACGGGGGAC
This 72-nucleotide transfer RNA is filed under the name Salmo salar (Atlantic salmon). It matches the Rfam family "tRNA". Rfam says of the family: Transfer RNA (tRNA) molecules are approximately 80 nucleotides in length. Their secondary structure includes four short double-helical elements and three loops (D, anti-codon, and T loops). The record is from Rfam by way of RNAcentral. Lineage: Eukaryota; Metazoa; Chordata; Actinopteri; Salmoniformes; Salmonidae.